GUCCAGACUCCUACGGGAGGCAGCAGUGGGGGAUAUUGCACAAUGGGGGAAACCCUGAUGCAGCGACGCCGCGUGAGUGAAGAAGUAUUUCGGUAUGUAAAGCUCUAUCAGCAGGGAAGAAAAUGACGGUACCUGAGUAAGAAGCCCCGGCUAACUACGUGCCAGCAGCCGCGGUAAUACGUAGGGGGCAAGCGUUAUCCGGAUUUACUGGGUGUAAAGGGAGCGUAGACGGCCAGACAAGUCUGAAGUGAAAAUCCAGCGCUUAACGUUGGAAGUGCUUUGGAAACUGCCGGGCUGGAGUGCAGGAGGGGCAGGCGGAAUUCCUAGUGUAGCGGUGAAAUGCGUAGAUAUUAGGAGGAACACCAGUGGCGAAGGCGGCCUGCUGGACUGCAACUGACGUUGAGGCUCGAAGGCGUGGGGAGCAAACAGGAUUAGAUACCCUAGUAA
RNAcentral lists this ribosomal RNA (447 nucleotides) under uncultured bacterium. RNAcentral describes it as "bacterial SSU rRNA". It matches the Rfam family "Bacterial small subunit ribosomal RNA", at positions 329 to 793 of the family's 1533-position model. The record is from RNAcentral.